GAUGAACGCUGGCGGCAUGCCUAAGACAUGCAAGUCGUACGAGGUGGCCCAAUGAAGAUUGAGUGCUUGCACAAUUUCGGAUUUGGUUUCCACCUAGUGGCGGACGGGUGAGUAACACGUGGGUGACCUACCUUUGAGUUUGGGAUAACUACUGGAAACGGUAGCUAAUACCGAAUGAUAUACAGUUUCGUUUCUGUAUUGAAAGGCGCUUUCAAGCGUCGCUCUUAGAUGGGCCUGCGGCGUAUUAGCUUGUUGGUGGGGUAAUGGCCUACCAAGGCAACGAUGCGUAGCCGGACUGAGAGGUUGAACGGCCACAUUGGGACUGAGACACGGCCCAAAACUCCUACGGGAGACAGCAGUUAGGAAUAUUCGUCAAUGGGGGAAACCCUGAACGAGCAAUGCCGCGUGAGUGAUGACGGUCCUUUGGAUUGUAAAAACUCUGUUGCAUGGGAAGAAUGACCAAAACUAGGAAAUGAGUUUGGAGUGACGGUACCAUGCCAGAAAGCCCCGG
Molecule: ribosomal RNA, 511 nt
Filed under: uncultured bacterium
Lineage: Bacteria
Description: bacterial SSU rRNA
Rfam family: Bacterial small subunit ribosomal RNA
Source: RNAcentral